This 465-nucleotide ribosomal RNA is filed under the name uncultured Klebsiella sp. RNAcentral's name for it is "bacterial SSU rRNA". It matches the Rfam family "Bacterial small subunit ribosomal RNA", at positions 338 to 795 of the family's 1533-position model. The record is from RNAcentral. Lineage: Bacteria; Pseudomonadati; Pseudomonadota; Gammaproteobacteria; Enterobacterales; Enterobacteriaceae.
CCUACGGGUGGCAGCAGUGGGGAAUAUUGCACAAUGGGCGCAAGCCUGAUGCAGCCAUGCCGCGUGUGUGAAGAAGGCCUUCGGGUUGUAGAGCACUUUCAGCGGGGAGGAAGGCGGUGAGGUUAAUAACCUCAUCGAUUGACGUUACCCGCAGAAGAAGCACCGGCUAACUCCGUGCCAGCAGCCGCGGUAAUACGGAGGGUGCAAGCGUUAAUCGGAAUUACUGGGCGUAAAGCGCACGCAGGCGGUCUGUCAAGUCGGAUGUGAAAUCCCCGGGCUCAACCUGGGAACUGCAUUCGAAACUGGCAGGCUAGAGUCUUGUAGAGGGGGGUAGAAUUCCAGGUGUAGCGGCGAAAUGCGUAGAGAUCUGGAGGAAUACCGGUGGCGAAGGCGGCCCCCUGGACAAAGACUGACGCUCAGGUGCGAAAGCGUGGGGAGCAAACAGGAUUAGAUACCCGGGUAGUC